This is a long non-coding RNA of Myotis brandtii (Brandt's bat), 282 nucleotides long. RefSeq lists it as uncharacterized. The record is from RefSeq and is a predicted model, not a curated record. The transcript has 2 exons. Lineage: Eukaryota; Metazoa; Chordata; Mammalia; Chiroptera; Vespertilionidae.
UAUUUAUUUCUCAGCAGCACAUCAUUCUCUGUAAUCCAUGCAGUUAUAUCAGAAGUGGAUUUUGCUUCAUCAGUUGACGUGUAACAGUACCAUCUGGACUCAGCAGAUACUAAGCUUGAUUUAUUUUGAGGGACAUCGUAACAGAACUGAAGACUUGGCAACGCUUGAUAGAAUCCCCUUCUUUGAAUACAAUAUACGCAAAACAGACUUUCUCAACAGACCAUCUCCUCGCCUCUUCUGUUCCCACCUCCCAUAUUAUUUAGUACCGAAAGGUCUCAAGAG